RNAcentral lists this transfer RNA (72 nucleotides) under Ovis aries (sheep). It matches the Rfam family "tRNA". From Rfam's summary of the family: Transfer RNA (tRNA) molecules are approximately 80 nucleotides in length. Their secondary structure includes four short double-helical elements and three loops (D, anti-codon, and T loops). The record is from Rfam by way of RNAcentral. Lineage: Eukaryota; Metazoa; Chordata; Mammalia; Artiodactyla; Bovidae.
UCCCUGGUGGCUCAGACAGUAAAGCGUCUGCCUGCAAUGCAGGAAACCCAGGUUCCACCCCUGGGGCGGGAA